ACGCUGAAGUCGAAAGCUAGGGGAGUUAAAUACGCUUAGUAGUCCCCGUAGUAAUAGCUGUACACUAUGUGUGGUGGGUGUGAGGGGGUAUAGAUCCGGUCCGUGCGCAAUAAAACGCGUUCAGCAUGAGUCCGGGGGGAUUACGUCCGCAAGGCUUGAAUUCAAACGAAUUGCCGGGGGCCCGCACAAGCGGCGGAGCUUGUGGUUUAAUUGCAGAACACACGAAGAACCUUACAUGGCCGUGACAGAGAGGUAGUAGUGAAGCGAAAGUGGAACGACCUUUCAGGGAGCGUACACAGGUGGUGCAUUGCUGUCGUCAGUUGGUGCCUUGAGUCGUGCGAUUAACUCCCGUAACGAACGCAACCCUCGCCAUUAGUUACAUGUGUCUAAGGGGAGUGCCCGGGACAAAAGGGAGGAAAGUGGGGAGGAGGUCACGUCUCCUCAUCCUCUAUGUCCCCAGGUACACACACGCUACACAAUGGGGUACAAAACGUGAGCAAGCUGUGAGGGGGAGACAAUCUCCCAAAACCGGUUUAAAUUUGGAAUGUGGGUCGCAAAUUGGCCAUCAGAAGGGGGAAAUGGUUGGUACUGGGGGUUCACCAUACCGCGGUGAAUACGUUCCCGGGCCUUGUACACACCGCCCGUCACGUCAUGGAAGUUGGCAGCACCUGAAGCCAGUGGGCUAACCCGCAAGGGGGGCACGCGCCGAAGGUGGGACCAGCGCCUGGACGAAGUCGUAACAAGGUAACCAAGGGCGAA
RNAcentral lists this ribosomal RNA (759 nucleotides) under uncultured organism. Its description in RNAcentral is "bacterial SSU rRNA". It matches the Rfam family "Bacterial small subunit ribosomal RNA", at positions 743 to 1510 of the family's 1533-position model. The record is from RNAcentral.